RNAcentral lists this small RNA (528 nucleotides) under Arabidopsis thaliana (thale cress). Its description in RNAcentral is "ATSL225680". The record is from RNAcentral. Lineage: Eukaryota; Viridiplantae; Streptophyta; Magnoliopsida; Brassicales; Brassicaceae.
AUGAUGUAAAAAAGAAACUGAACAUCAUUAUGUCUGAAAACACUGUUUCUUUUAAUUGAAAAACUCAUAAUGUUGACUGUUGAGUUUCAUCCUUUGUUAAUUGUAUAUGUAGCGGCUACAUGUCUCCCGAAUACGCAAUGGAGGGGAUAUUCUCGGUAAAAUCGGAUGUUUUCAGCUUCGGGGUUUUGGUUCUUGAGAUUGUCAGUGGAAAGAGGAACAGAGGAUUCCACAACUCCGGCCAAGACAAUAAUCUUCUCGGCUACGUAAGCUUAAACCGCUUAAGUUUUUUAUUUUGUCUCGUUCGAUUGAUAACACAAUUUUUUUUAUCUUUAUUAACAGACGUGGGAGAAUUGGAAAGAAGGAAAAGGGCUAGAGAUCGUCGAUUCGAUAAUUGUAGAUUCCUCAUCAUCAAUGUCAUUGUUCCAACCACAUGAAGUCUUAAGAUGCAUACAGAUUGGUCUUUUAUGUGUUCAAGAACGUGCAGAGGACAGACCAAAGAUGUCGUCGGUGAUUGUCCCGUUUUGUACU